UCUUAGGUAGUAUGGUGGUUAGUAUUCGCGCCUGUCAAGCUAAAAGUUUAACUCAAGGUUUAAGCGCACCCGAGACCGGGGUUCAAUUCCCCGCCUGAGAG
Transfer RNA from Sphaerobolus stellatus SS14, 101 nucleotides. It matches the Rfam family "tRNA". From Rfam's summary of the family: Transfer RNA (tRNA) molecules are approximately 80 nucleotides in length. Their secondary structure includes four short double-helical elements and three loops (D, anti-codon, and T loops). The record is from Rfam. Lineage: Eukaryota; Fungi; Basidiomycota; Agaricomycetes; Geastrales; Sphaerobolaceae.